GUGUGUAAUGGUGUGUGAAUAAGUGAUUGUGUAUAUGGGUGUGUAUAAGGCUGUGUGUAUAAGGUUGUGUGUGUAUGGCUGUGAAUAAGCGUGUGUGAAUAAGUGAGUGUGUAUACGGGUGUGUAUAAGGCUGUGUGUAUACGGGUGUGUAUAAGACCGAGUGUAUGAGGCUGUGUGUAUAUGGGUGUGCAUACGGGUGUGUAUAAGGCUGUGUGAAUAAGUGAGUGUGUAUACGAGUGUGUAUAAAGCUUUGUUUAAGGGUAUGUGUAUAUUGGUGAGUAUAUGGGUGUGUAUAAGGGGGUGUAUAUAAGGCUGUGUGUAUAAGGGUGUGUGUAUAAGGGUGUGUGAAUAAGUGAGUGUGUAUAAGGGUGUGUGUAUAAGUGAGUGUGUAUACAGGUGUGUAUAAGGGUGUGUGUGUGUGCUGUACCCCUUUCCACAGCCCUCUGGCCCAACCAGCAGGAACGGCUGUGUGUUUCCGGCCUGCAGCCAGCGUGUGAAGUUGUGUAGCGCGUCCUGUGUGUGUGGAGUGUGUAUGACGGGGAGUGUGUGCGUAUAUCCGAAGUCCUCCACGCACACUCCGUCUCCACGCUGCGCCUCGUACGCACGCACGCGGCCAGAGUCACCAUCAUAGCACAGAUCCAGAGGGUUCCGCGGGUCAGGAGGGCUCUCACCUGCC
Molecule: long non-coding RNA, 676 nt
Organism: Ictalurus punctatus (channel catfish)
Lineage: Eukaryota; Metazoa; Chordata; Actinopteri; Siluriformes; Ictaluridae
Source: Ensembl